AAUGAACGCUGGCGGCAUGCCUAACACAUGCAAGUCGAACGAGACCUUCGGGUCUAGUGGCGCACGGGUGCGUAACGCGUGGGAAUCUGCCCUUGGGUUCGGAAUAACAGUUAGAAAUGACUGCUAAUACCGAAUGAUGUCGUAAGACCAAAGAUUCAUCGCCCAGGGAUGGGCCCGCGUAGGAUUAGCUAGUUGGUGUGGUAAAAGCGCACCAAGGCGACGAUCCUUAGCUGGUCUGAGAGGAUGAUCAGCCACACUGGGACUGAGACACGGCCCAGACUCCUACGGGAGGCAGCAGUGGGGAAUAUUGGACAAUGGGCGAAAGCCUGAUCCAGCAAUGCCGCGUGAGUGAUGAAGGCCUUAGGGUUGUAAAGCUCUUUUACCCGGGAUGAUAAUGACAGUACCGGGAGAAUAAGCUCCGGCUAACUCCGU
RNAcentral lists this ribosomal RNA (432 nucleotides) under uncultured bacterium. RNAcentral describes it as "bacterial SSU rRNA". It matches the Rfam family "Bacterial small subunit ribosomal RNA", at positions 29 to 506 of the family's 1533-position model. The record is from RNAcentral.